UGGGGAAUUUUGGACAAUGGGGGCAACCCUGAUCCAGCCAUGCCGCGUGAGUGAAGAAGGCCUUCGGGUUGUAAAGCUCUUUCGGCCGGGAAGAAAUCGCACAGGCUAAUACCCUGUGUGGAUGACGGUACCGGCAUAAGAAGCACCGGCUAACUACGUGCCAGCAGCCGCGGUAAUACGUAGGGUGCGAGCGUUAAUCGGAAUUACUGGGCGUAAAGCGUGCGCAGGCGGUUAGAUAAGUUUGAUGUGAAAUCCCCGGGCUCAACCUGGGAACUGCAUUGAAGACUGUCUGACUAGAGUACGGCAGAGGGGGGUGGAAUUCCACGUGUAGCAGUGAAAUGCGUAGAGAUGUGGAGGAACACCGAUGGCGAAGGCAGCCCCCUGGGCCGAUACUGACGCUCAUGCACGAAAGCGUGGGGAGCAAACA
RNAcentral lists this ribosomal RNA (427 nucleotides) under uncultured Rhodocyclaceae bacterium. RNAcentral describes it as "partial 16S ribosomal RNA". It matches the Rfam family "Bacterial small subunit ribosomal RNA", at positions 355 to 774 of the family's 1533-position model. The record is from RNAcentral. Lineage: Bacteria; Pseudomonadati; Pseudomonadota; Betaproteobacteria; Rhodocyclales; Rhodocyclaceae.